Molecule: ribosomal RNA, 278 nt
Filed under: Clostridioides difficile
Lineage: Bacteria; Bacillati; Bacillota; Clostridia; Peptostreptococcales; Peptostreptococcaceae
Description: partial 16S ribosomal RNA
Rfam family: Bacterial small subunit ribosomal RNA
Source: RNAcentral
UUUUAUUUGAGAGUUUGAUCCUGGCUCAGGAUGAACGCUGGCGGCGUGCCUAACACAUGCAAGUUGAGCGAUUUACUUCGGUAAAGAGCGGCGGACGGGUGAGUAACGCGUGGGUAACCUACCCUGUACACACGGAUAACAUACCGAAAGGUAUGCUAAUACGGGAUAAUAUAUUUGAGAGGCAUCUCUUGAAUAUCAAAGGUGAGCCAGUACAGGAUGGACCCGCGUCUGAUUAGCUAGUUGGUAAGGUAACGGCUUACCAAGGCGACGAUCAGUAG